AGAGUUUGAUCCUGGCUCAGGAUGAACGCUGGCGGCGUGCUUAACACAUGCAAGUCGAACGAUGAUCCCAGCUUGCUGGGGGAUUAGUGGCGAACGGGUGAGUAACACGUGAGUAACCUGCCCUUAACUCUGGGAUAAGCCUGGGAAACUGGGUCUAAUACCGGAUAUGACUCCUCAUCGCAUGGUGGGGGGUGGAAAGCUUUAUUGUGGUUUUGGAUGGACUCGCGGCCUAUCAGCUUGUUGGUGAGGUAAUGGCUCACCAAGGCGACGACGGGUAGCCGGCCUGAGAGGGUGACCGGCCACACUGGGACUGAGACACGGCCCAGACUCCUACGGGAGGCAGCAGUGGGGAAUAUUGCACAAUGGGCGAAAGCCUGAUGCAGCGACGCCGCGUGAGGGAUGACGGCCUUCGGGUUGUAAACCUCUUUCAGUAGGGAAGAAGCGAAAGUGACGGUACCUGCAGAAGAAGCGCCGGCUAACUACGUGCCAGCAGCCGCGGUAAUACGUAGGGCGCAAGCGUUAUCCGGAAUUAUUGGGCGUAAAGAGCUCGUAGGCGGUUUGUCGCGUCUGCCGUGAAAGUCCGGGGCUCAACUCCGGAUCUGCGGUGGGUACGGGCAGACUAGAGUGAUGUAGGGGAGACUGGAAUUCCUGGUGUAGCGGUGAAAUGCGCAGAUAUCAGGAGGAACACCGAUGGCGAAGGCAGGUCUCUGGGCAUUAACUGACGCUGAGGAGCGAAAGCAUGGGGGAGCGAACAGGAUUAGAUACCCUGGUAGUCCAUGCCGUAAACGUUGGGCACUAGG
This 800-nucleotide ribosomal RNA is filed under the name uncultured bacterium. Its description in RNAcentral is "bacterial SSU rRNA". It matches the Rfam family "Bacterial small subunit ribosomal RNA", at positions 8 to 820 of the family's 1533-position model. The record is from RNAcentral.